Molecule: ribosomal RNA, 253 nt
Filed under: uncultured bacterium
Lineage: Bacteria
Description: partial 16S ribosomal RNA
Rfam family: Bacterial small subunit ribosomal RNA
Source: RNAcentral
CACGUAGGGCGCGAGCGUUGUCCGGAAUUAUUGGGCGUAAAGAGCUCGUAGGCGGCCUGUUGCGUCCGCUGUGAAAGCCCGGGGCUUAACCCCGGGUCGGCAGUGGAUACGGGCAGGCUAGAGGUAGGUAGGGGAGAAUGGAAUUCCCGGUGUAGCGGUGAAAUGCGUAGAGAUCAGGAGGAACACCCGUGGCGAAGGCGGCCCUCUGGCUCGACCCUGACGCUGAGGCGCGAAAGCGUGGGGAGCGAACGGG